AAUAAUAAUAUAUUUAUACCCUGCCCAUCUGUUAAACAUUAAAAGCUUCCCUAAACAGGGACAUCAAACCUGCUAAUGUUUUAAUAUAUUCACAGUGGUCUUUUAAAUAGUCUAUAAAUUUCUUUCAUUCCCGUUCAAACUUUUUCUCAUCCUGAUCUCUGAUCUUCACGGUCAUCUUUGCCAUUUCGGCAUACAGGGCUGGCUCUAGGUAGAGUCCCGGUGGUGUGGGGCGCCAGGGCGCUGGGUCGGUAGGCAGGGUGCUGCGCGGCAAAGCCGCGUGGAAGCCAUGCUGCGCCCUGUGAGGGUGGGGGCGCCAGAGCAAUCUCCGCCCCUCAGCGCCAGGGCGUGCAACCUGCUCAAGACUGCCCUGUUGGCAUAGUCUUAGUUAUCAAUUUUUCUUUUGUUGAUACUUUUUCUUCUUUCCACUUCUGGGCAAGCAAAAUUCUCGUGGCUGUUGUCGCAUACAUAAAUAGUCCUUUUAAGUCCCCUGGUAUUUCAUCCCCUGUUAACCCAAGUAAAAAGGCUUCUGGUUUUUUUUGACAAAAGUUAUCUUAAACAUUUUUUUUAAUUCAUUGUAUAUCAUUUCCCAGAAGUCUUUUACUUUUUUACAGGGCCACCACAUAUGGUAAAAAGUACCUUCCUUAUCCUUACAUUUUGUGUGUAAUGUCUUUUAAGUCACUGUUGAUAGGUUAGAAUGCAGCUGCAAAUAAAGUCUCAUUCUAACAUGGAGGAAUGCUUUUAUUAACAGAGCUGCCAUUUCCCUCUACACAGCAUUGUGGGUAGGGAAACCCAAUUUUAAAACAAGAGGGGUGCAUUUAAUAAAUUCAACAGCUGAUCUAGAGGGAGCUUCCAUGUGAGAACAGCGAAUACCAAAACUGGAGCAGAUGUAGAGUUGAAAGGGAAACGGGUUCGGGCAUUGUCAGAGUUCUGCAGAGACUGUGACCCAUAUGAGGGUCACACCACCCAUGAGAAAACAAAGGCAAAUAAAGUUAUGGAAGGCAUGUUCGUCUCAACUAAAUACAUGAAAGUUGGGCUCCUGCUUCUAUGUAUUCUCCCCUGUGAAAUGCAGCAGUUUGAAUGGGGCAAAUCCCUACUCAGCUCUGAAACUUACUGGGUGACCUUGGGCCAGUCACAGCCUCCCUGCCUAACCUUAUACACAGGGUUGUUCUGAGGAUAGAACAGGGAGGAAGAGAAGCAUGAACUCGUUGGAAGAAAGGUGGGAUAUAAAUGCAAUAAAUACCAUCAAUUACAGAACAUUCCCGGUCCUAGCUUAGAUUGAGGCUUCCAGGCUGGCAUUGGGUGGACAUAGGUUGCAUAGGGUGAUGGUCAGAAGAACAUCCAAGUCCAGUAAAUGAGAGGCAAAGUGUGCCAGAUUAGGAGAGGCAAGACUUGGCCUGUUAGGAUCCUGUGGCGGGUGCUGGAAGGCACCAAUCCAAGGAGACGUAUUGCACCCAGCAGCAUGGAGUGUAAUUGCGGUGGGAGGGCAUCACUCUUUGAUUAUGAGAAGUCUGUUGAAGGCACUUCAGCAAUAUCCCUCCCACAGCAAAAAGCACAUUAGGCUACCCACCCGUACUCCACUUUUGGAACAUCCAAGCAAAUGCUUAAGCACUGCCCAAGACCUAAAAAUGUGCAACUUUGGCUGGCUCAUGCCAAAAGCUAAGCUGCCAGGUAAAUAUCCAGUUUAGAUGGGGCCGAAAGAAAGAUUGACCCUUAUGGAAAAGCAGGCUGCAUAAGGCUGGUUUGUUUUUAAAUUCCUCGCUCCUGCUUUACUUUAAAGGAAACCUGCAUUUAUGUUUAAGGGUUACUCAUGGAGAUAUUAUUUAUUAUAGCGACAUUAAGGCACAGAAUUCUAUGAGAAGAAGAAAAACCACAGGAGUUCAGAAUUUCAAUCUUAAUGCUGAGGAAGACACCAGAGAGAGAACAAUAUUAUAUUGUGAUUUGUACUUUAGCUUUUCAGCUUAGAGGAAAGAAGGAAGGAGGUGCUAUGUGAUUUGAAUAGGGGCAGCAUGUCCUUUGUGGAAAACUUUCAGAAUUUGUUCUUAUGCUGCGCCAGGAUCACAUUUGCAUUACUGCAGUUUAUUGCAGUGCGAAAACACAGUCAUUGACGCAGCCAAUAUUUGUAAAAUUCAUACUGCAUGUGGGCUAGCUUCAUCUCAAAUGCACAAUAGGUAGAAAUUCUUUCCUCAGCUUCUUCUCAGCCUGGUACUCUUCCUUACAGAUUUGACAAAUCAGCUAUCACACCGUUGGCGAAGUCUGUUAAGAGAUUAUCUUCACCACAGAAGUUUAUUAUUUCUUUCAUUAAGAAGAAAACUUCUCCGAACAUGUCACCCGCCCCCUCUUCCCCACCCCACCCCCCGCUUUCCUUUACUGCGAUUUUCUCCUCAUUUAUUUUUGUCAGCGCUGGAUCCAUUCAGCAUCUGCUCUCCUAUGAAAAGCCCCCAGGAAAAAAUUAAAAAGCUGUUCAAGCCAAUUCAUUGUUGUUAUUAAGAACCGUAAUUCACCUCGUAGUUAUCUCGGCUCUUUUCGGUUCUUAUCUCGGCUUCCAUGAUGACAUUGCCUUCCCGUUCGAGGCAUCGCUCCAGCCCCUGUCUCAUCUCUCCCACCUUAAUUUGUAGCGAUGCGCUGCAAGUUUGGUGACAGGCAGUUGUUCGUGCUUGAAUAACCCGCGAUUUGAAUUCUACAGUUUGUGGCAUCCAUGUAAUGCUUAGCAGUAGGUACAGCUGUUAACUAUUCGCUUAUAAAUAAUCUUUCCCCCCUCUCAACCUGUCUCCCAGGUAGUGUACCUGUCACCAUUAAUAACUCAUUGGUAGCUCCCCUGCGAUUCGGUCCAUCACUUGUCAUUCACACUAGAGCAAUGCCCUGGCUUGCCACUGAAACUCACACAAGCUCCAUCAGCUAUUCACUCAUCGCGGCAGCUGUAUUGUUUCAAGUUUCUGACUUGCGGGAAAUUGCAUUGAUGCAUCUCACACAGCUAGGCCCCGGGAUCAUCCCACCCUUAUUCCCAUGCAUGUGGGAAACUCAAAUCUUCGCAAAAGUUCCUCCUUGCCUUUUAAGAAAGGCUGUAUUGACCACCGGUGCGAGCAAUAAGCUUCAUAGAGUUCUUUCUGGCGUUAGCUAUAUUGAUCUCAGUGAUGUUGCCCCAGUGGUUUGUACUGCCCAUAAUAUAGCAUAAUUAAGUUUGCGUAAUACUAUAUGAUACACCACAUUGAUUGUGAUGCUCUGCUGAUUGCCGGGUGGGAGGAAAAAAGAAAAUUUGCCUCACCUUCUAAAGAGCUUUGAUCGUGGCAUUUAGUACCAUCACCUGACCUUAGCGUUUUUUUUGGGGGGUGAAAGCCAGCCAUCAUUAGGAGUGUAUUGCAGGGUUCACGAAUUGUGAUAAGGGUUCUACAGACAGUGAUUUGAAGAGGUAACAUAGGUGUGAUACGUGAAUAGCAGGUGCAUUUCUUGCCCAGGUGUUCAUUCAAGGCAGUUAUCUUUUAAGUUAACCCAUGGAGAGAAACUGAAGCACAAAAGCUUUCUGUUUGAAUGACUGCCAUUGACUAAGUCAAUUUGUUGUUUGUCUGAAAACAAUCUUUAAAGCACCAUAUGCAUUAAGUGUGUGUGUGUGUGUGUGUGUGUGUGUGUGUGUGUGUACAAAGACCCUAUAUGUUCAUUUAGUAGGUUAGUUUCUCUCCUUUGAGGAAGAAGGAGAACGUUUGUCUAAUGCUUUUCUACCAUAAAUGCCAUUCUGGGUCCUGUGCAUUUAAGUUCCACUCUGUUCCCAUGUAGGAAGUGAUCCACCCUGAGGUAGGGAUGAAUAGGAUUGAACCCUUAAUAACUUUUU
This is a non-coding RNA of Zootoca vivipara (common lizard), 3823 nucleotides long. The record is from RefSeq and is a predicted model, not a curated record. NCBI's taxonomy places the organism in Eukaryota, Metazoa, Chordata, Lepidosauria, Squamata, Lacertidae.